GAUGAACGCUGGCGGCGUGCUUAACACAUGCAAGUCGAACGAUGAAGCCCAGCUUGCUGGGUGGAUUAGUGGCGAACGGGUGAGUAACACGAGAGUAACCUGCCCUUAACUCUGGGAUAAGCCUGGGAAACUGGGUCUAAUACCGGAUAGGAGCGUCCACCGCAUGGUGGGUGUUGGACAGUUUUAUCGGUUUUGGAUGGACUCGCGGCCUAUCAGCUUGUUGGUGAGGUAAUGGCUCACCAAGGCGACGACGGGUAGCCGGCCUGAGAGGGUGACCGGCCACACGAGGACUGAGACACGGCCCAGACUCCUACGGGAGGCAGCAGUGGGGAAUAUUGCGCAAUGGGCGCAAGCCUGAUGCAGCGACGCCGCGUGAGGGAUGACGGCCUUCGGGUUGGAAACCUCUUUCAGUAGGGAAGAAGCGAAAGUGACGUUACCUGCAGAAGAAGCACCGGCUAACUACGUG
Molecule: ribosomal RNA, 466 nt
Filed under: uncultured bacterium
Lineage: Bacteria
Description: partial 16S ribosomal RNA
Rfam family: Bacterial small subunit ribosomal RNA
Source: RNAcentral